This 253-nucleotide ribosomal RNA is filed under the name uncultured bacterium. RNAcentral describes it as "partial 16S ribosomal RNA". It matches the Rfam family "Bacterial small subunit ribosomal RNA", at positions 524 to 776 of the family's 1533-position model. The record is from RNAcentral.
UACGUAGGGUGCGAGCGUUAAUCGUAAUUACUGGGCGUAAAGCGUGCGCAGGCGGUUUGUUAAGUCUGAUGUGACAGCCCCGGGCUCAACCUGGGAAUGGCAUUGGAAACUGGCAAGCUCGAGUUUGGCAGAGGGGGGUGGAAUUCCGCGUGUAGCAGUGCAAUGCGUAGAGAUGCGGAGGAACACCGAUGGCGAAGGCAGCCCCCGGGGCUAAGACUGACGCUCAGGCACGAAAGCGUGGGGAGCAAACAGG